This 253-nucleotide ribosomal RNA is filed under the name uncultured bacterium. Its description in RNAcentral is "partial 16S ribosomal RNA". It matches the Rfam family "Bacterial small subunit ribosomal RNA", at positions 524 to 776 of the family's 1533-position model. The record is from RNAcentral.
UACGUAGGGUGCGAGCGUUAAUCGGAAUUACUGGGCGUAAAGCGUGCGCAGGCGGUUUUGUAAGUCAGUUGUGAAAUCUCCGGGCUUAACUCGGAAAGGUCAACUGAUACUGUGCGACUAGAGUGCGGAAGGGGCAACUGGAAUUCUCGGUGUAGCGGUGAGAUGCGUAGAUAUCGAGAGGAACACCUGCGGCGAAGGCGGGUUGCUGGGCCGACACUGACGCUGAUGCGCGAAAGCCAGGGGAGCGAACGGG